Molecule: ribosomal RNA, 646 nt
Filed under: uncultured bacterium
Lineage: Bacteria
Description: bacterial SSU rRNA
Rfam family: Bacterial small subunit ribosomal RNA
Source: RNAcentral
AUAACAGCUGAAAACGGCUGCUAAUACCGCAUAAGCGCACGAGGAGACAUCUCCUUGUGUGAAAAACUCCGGUGGUACAGGAUGGGCCCGCGUCUGAUUAGCUGGUUGGCAGGGUAACGGCCUACCAAGGCAACGAUCAGUAGCCGGUCUGAGAGGAUGAACGGCCACAUUGGAACUGAGACACGGUCCAAACUCCUACGGGAGGCAGCAGUGGGGAAUAUUGCACAAUGGGGGAAACCCUGAUGCAGCAACGCCGCGUGAGUGAAGAAGUAUUUCGGUAUGUAAAGCUCUAUCAGCAGGGAAGAUAAUGACGGUACCUGACUAAGAAGCUCCGGCUAAAUACGUGCCAGCAGCCGCGGUAAUACGUAUGGAGCAAGCGUUAUCCGGAUUUACUGGGUGUAAAGGGUGCGUAGGUGGCAGUGCAAGUCAGAUGUGAAAGGCCGGGGCUCAACCCCGGAGCUGCAUUUGAAACUGCUCGGCUAGAGUACAGGAGAGGCAGGCGGAAUUCCUAGUGUAGCGGUGAAAUGCGUAGAUAUUAGGAGGAACACCAGUGGCGAAGGCGGCCUGCUGGACUGUUACUGACACUGAGGCACGAAAGCGUGGGGAGCAAACAGGAUUAGAUACCCUGGUAGUCCACGCCGUAAAC